CAGUAGCGUAUAUUAAAGUUGUUGCAGUUAAAAAGCUCGUAGUUGGAUUUCUGGUACGCUGCGCCUGGCCCGCCCACGUUAGUGGUGUGAGUGUCGGUGCGCGGUUGCCAUCCUUCUAGAGAACGUGUCUACCUUUAAUUAGGCCGGAUACGGGAUCUAGAUCAUUUACUUUGAAAAAUUAGAGUGUUUAAAGCAGGCUUUUGCUAUGAAUACAUUAGCAUGGAAUAAUAAUAUAGGACUUUGGUUCUAUUUUGUUGGUUUCUAGGACUAAAGUAAUGAUUGAUAGGGAUAGUUGGGGGUGCUAGUAUUCAGCGGCCAGAGGUGAAAUUCUUGGAUUCGCUGAAGACUAACUUAUGCGAAAGCAUUCACCAAGGAUGUCUUCUUUAAUCAAGAACGAAAGUUGGGGGAUCGAAGACGAUUAGAUACCAU
RNAcentral lists this ribosomal RNA (429 nucleotides) under uncultured eukaryote. Its description in RNAcentral is "SSU rRNA". It matches the Rfam family "Eukaryotic small subunit ribosomal RNA", at positions 592 to 1018 of the family's 1831-position model. The record is from RNAcentral.